This 801-nucleotide ribosomal RNA is filed under the name Methanoculleus thermophilus. Its description in RNAcentral is "bacterial SSU rRNA". It matches the Rfam family "Archaeal small subunit ribosomal RNA", at positions 172 to 978 of the family's 1478-position model. Lineage: Archaea; Methanobacteriati; Methanobacteriota; Methanomicrobia; Methanomicrobiales; Methanomicrobiaceae. The record is from RNAcentral.
GGAAUGCCCGGUAUCCCAAAGCUCCGGCGCCUUAGGAUGGAUCUGCGGCCGAUUAGGUCGUUGUUGGGGUAACGGCCCAACAAGCCGAUAAUCGGUACGGGUUGUGGGAGCAAGAGCCCGGAGUUGGAUUCUGAGACACGAAUCCAGGCCCUACGGGGCGCAGCAGGCGCGAAAACUUUACAAUGCGGGCAACCGUGAUAAGGGAACCUCGAGUGCCUGUACAUGCAGGCUGUCUGGGUGUCUAAAACACACCCAAAGAAAGGGCCGGGCAAGACCGGUGCCAGCCGCCGCGGUAAUACCGGCGGCUCGAGUGGUGGCCACUUUUAUUGGGCUUAAAGCGUUCGUAGCUGGGUUGUUAAGUCUCUUGGGAAAUCUGGCAGCUUAACUGUCAGGCGUCUAAGAGAUACUGGCAAUCUAGGAACCGGGAGAGGUGAGGGGUACUUCGGGGGUAGGAGUGAAAUCCUGUAAUCCUCGAGGGACCACCUGUGGCGAAGGCGCCUCACCAGAACGGCUUCGACAGUGAGGGACGAAAGCUGGGGGAGCAAACCGGAUUAGAUACCCGGGUAGUCCCAGCCGUAAACGAUGCGCGUUAGGUGUGUCGAUGACCACGAGUCAUCGAGGUGCCGAAGGGAAACCGUGAAACGCGCCGCCUGGGAAGUACGGUCGCAAGGCUGAAACUUAAAGGAAUUGGCGGGGGAGCACCACAACAGGUGGAGCCUGCGGUUUAAUUGGACUCAACGCCGGGAAGCUCACCGGAUAGGACAGCAGAAUGAUUGCCGGGCUGAAGACUCUGCAUGACUA